RNAcentral lists this ribosomal RNA (649 nucleotides) under Bensingtonia sp. PYCC 5547. Its description in RNAcentral is "eukaryotic LSU rRNA". The stretch from base 215 to 369 matches the Rfam family "5.8S ribosomal RNA". Lineage: Eukaryota; Fungi; Basidiomycota; Agaricostilbomycetes; Agaricostilbales; Kondoaceae. The record is from RNAcentral.
UCCGUAGGUGAACCUGCGGAAGGAUCAUUAGUGAAACAUAAGAGUGCUCUUUAUUGAGGCUCGUUUUAACUAUCCAUUACACUUUGUGCAUUUGAACUACUUACUUGGAAACAUGUGGGCUUCGGUCUCUUGUUUUGCUAUCAAGUAAAUUUUACAUAACCCCAAUUGCUUUAUAUGAGAUGAUGAUGUUACAUAUUUGAAAAAUGAAAGAAACAACUUUCAGCAACGGAUGUCUUGGCUCUCGCAUCGAUGAAGAACGCAGCGAAAUGCGAUACGUAAUGUGAAUUGCAGAACUCAGUGAAUCAUCGAAUUUUUGAACGCACCUUGCGCUCUUUAGUUAUUCUGAAGAGCAUGCUUGUUUGAGUGUCGCGAACCUCUCAACCCCGCCAAAGGCUUUAUUGACUUUGUGUAGUUUGGGCUUGGAUCAUGGUCUUUUGUCGUUGCCUUUCGGGGCUUGUGACUGGACUGAAAUACAACAAGUUGAAUGGUUUCAUUUGCAGCUUGACCUGAUGUUGUAAACUACUCAUCGGGGAUGCGAAUGUGAUUAAAGGAACUUUAACAGAACACCCUUAAAUGGUACCUAGUACAUUUAUGACCUCAAAUCAAGUAGGACUACCCGCUGAACUUAAGCAUAUCAAUAAGCGGAGGA